Oncorhynchus keta (chum salmon) is the source of this 932-nucleotide long non-coding RNA. RefSeq lists it as uncharacterized. The transcript is spliced from 4 exons. The record is from RefSeq and is a predicted model, not a curated record. Lineage: Eukaryota; Metazoa; Chordata; Actinopteri; Salmoniformes; Salmonidae.
UUAUGAUGUUCCAGGUAUCCAGUCUAUCAGUCAGUAUUAUUUUAUAAUGUUCCAGGUAUCCAGUCUAUCAGGCAGUAUUAUAUUAUAAUGUUCCAGGUAUCCAGUCUAUCAGACAGUAUUAUAAUGUUCCAGGUAUCCAGUCUAUCAGUCAGUAUUAUUUUAUAAUGUUCCAGGUAUCCAGUCUAUCAGGCAGUAUUAUAUUAUAAUGUUCCAGGUAUCCAGUCUAUCAGACAGUAUUAUGAUGUUCCAGGUAUCCAGUCUAUCAGACAGUAUUAUGAUGUUCCAGGUAUCCAGUCUAUCAGUCAGUAUUAUUUUAUAAUGUUCCAGGUAUCCAGUCUAUCAGGCAGUAUUAUAUUAUAAUGUUCCAGGUAUCCAGUCUAUCAGACAGUAUUAUGAUGUUCCAGGUAUCCAGUCUAUCAGACAGUAUUAUGAUGUUCCAGGUAUCCAGUCUAUCAGUCAGUAUUAUUUUAUAAUGUUCCAGGUAUCCAGUCUAUCAGGCAGUAUUAUAUUAUAAUGUUCCAGGUAUCCAGUCUAUCAGACAGUAUUAUAAUGUUCCAGGUAUCCAGUCUAUCAGACAGUAUUAUGAUGUUCCAGGUAUCCAGUCUAUCAGACAGUAUUAUGAUGUUCCAGGUAUCCAGUCUAUCAGACAGUAUUAUAUUAUAAUGUUCCAGGUAUCCAGUCUAUCAGACAGUAUUAUAUUAUAAUGUUCCAGGUAUCCAGUCUAUCAGACAGUAUUAUGAUGUUCCAGGUAUCCAGUCUAUCAGACAGUAUUAUAAUGUUCCAGGUAUCCAGUCUAUCAGACAGUAUUAUAAUGUUCCAGGUAUCCAGUCUAUCAGACAGUAUUAUAAUGUUCCAGGUAUCCAGUCUAUCAGUCAGUAUUAUAUUAUAAUGUUCCAGGUAUCCAGUCUAUCAGUCAGUAUUAUAUUAUAAUG